CGAGGCAGCCCUACCACCUCGUCAAUGAUCUCAUCUGAUAUCAGAAGCUUAGCAGGGUUGGGCCAGGUUACUACAUGAAUGAGACCGCUCAGAAUACCAGGAAUACAGUGGCAUAGC
Molecule: ribosomal RNA, 117 nt
Filed under: Periophthalmus magnuspinnatus
Lineage: Eukaryota; Metazoa; Chordata; Actinopteri; Gobiiformes; Gobiidae
Source: RNAcentral